UUUUUUAAUUUCUUUUCUGCAGAUUUGACUACGAUCAUCAAAUUAUAAGAAUGGUUUUUCUACACCAGUACAUAUAGACGGACACACAGUUACGAUAGCCUGUGGCAGCGGGAGGGGAAGCGCCAGGCGAAAUCUUCUUAGAUGGAAACUUCGCAGUCGAGCUUUAAUCAUAUAUCUCCCAACGGCCAAACUUUCUCGUGGGAUACAACUCUAACGCCAGCAACACUUUUAACAUAAAUCGGAUUCACACGGCAAAAGUACUUGCAAAUCUGCUGGGCACAACACUUCAUCAAAGAGGCACUCUGCUCGUUGACCAAACCAGAAAAAAAAAUGACACUGGCCUCCGUCCACUCUACAAGGAAGGCCAGUGUAGUUCCAAAUUUUGUUUAUCUAUACGAAGAAAAUAGAAACCAAACACCACGAAACAUUCACUACAUCGGUCAAACAUCCACUUUUAAUUUGGCUACUCACAUUGUAUGAUACACAAAUAAAAGUUCACACACAAAGUC
Molecule: long non-coding RNA, 509 nt
Organism: Stomoxys calcitrans (stable fly)
Lineage: Eukaryota; Metazoa; Arthropoda; Insecta; Diptera; Muscidae
Exons: 2
Source: RefSeq, a predicted model, not a curated record